AACGAACGCUGGCGGCAGGCCUAACACAUGCAAGUCGAGCGAGGACUUCGGUCCUAGCGGCGGACGGGUGAGUAACGCGUGGGAACGUUCCCUUUGCUUCGGAAUAGCCCUUGGAAACUGGGAGUAAUACCGGAUGAGCCCUUUGGGGGAAAGAUUUAUCGGCGAAGGAUCGGCCCGCGUUGGAUUAGGUAGUUGGUGGGGUAAUGGCCUACCAAGCCGACGAUCAAUAGCUGGUUUGAGAGGAUGAUCAGCCACACUGGGACUGAGACACGGCCCAGAAUCAUACGGGAGGCAGCAGUGGGGAAUCUUAGACAAUGGGGGAAAGCCUGAUCUAGCCAUGCCGUGUGAGCGAUGAAGGCCUUAGGGUUGUAAAGCUCUUUCAGCUGGGAAGAUAAUGAAGGUACCAGCAGAAGAAGCCCCGGCUAACUCCGUG
RNAcentral lists this ribosomal RNA (433 nucleotides) under uncultured bacterium. RNAcentral's name for it is "partial 16S ribosomal RNA". It matches the Rfam family "Bacterial small subunit ribosomal RNA", at positions 29 to 507 of the family's 1533-position model. The record is from RNAcentral.